GAUGAACGCUGGCGGCGUGCUUAACACAUGCAAGUCGAACGGAAAGGCUCCUGCUUGCAGGGGUACUCGAGUGGCGAACGGGUGAGUAACACGUGGGUGAUCUGCCCUGCACUUCGGGAUAAGCCUGGGAAACUGGGUCUAAUACCGGAUAGGACCAUCGUUUAGUGUCGGUGGUGGAAAGUUUUUUCGGUGUGGGAUGAGCUCGCGGCCUAUCAGCUUGUUGGUGGGGUAAUGGCCUACCAAGGCGUCGACGGGUAGCCGGCCUGAGAGGGUGUACGGCCACAUUGGGACUGAGGUACGGCCCAGACUCCUACGGGAGGCAGCAGUGGGGAAUAUUGCACAAUGGGCGCAAGCCUGAUGCAGCGACGCCGCGUGGGGGAUGACGGCCUUCGGGUUGUAAACUCCUUUCGCCAGGGACGAAGCGAAAGUGACGGUACCUGGAUAAGAAGCACCGGCUAACUACGUG
RNAcentral lists this ribosomal RNA (466 nucleotides) under uncultured bacterium. RNAcentral's name for it is "partial 16S ribosomal RNA". It matches the Rfam family "Bacterial small subunit ribosomal RNA", at positions 28 to 507 of the family's 1533-position model. The record is from RNAcentral.